CCUACGGGGGGCAGCAGUGAGGAAUAUUGGUCAAUGGACGAGAGUCUGAACCAGCCAAGUAGCGUGAAGGAUGACUGCCCUAUGGGUUGUAAACUUCUUUUAUAUGGGAAUAAAACGUUCCACGUGUGGGAUUUUGUAUGUACCAUAUGAAUAAGGAUCGGCUAACUCCGUUCCAGCAGCCGCGGUAAUACGGAGGAUCCGAGCGUUAUCCGGAUUUAUUGGGUUUAAGGGGAGAGUAGGUGGAUUGUUAAGUCAGUUGUGAAAGUUUGCGGCUCAACCGUAAAAUUGCAGUUGAAACUGGCAGUCUUGAGUACAGUAGAGGUGGGCGGAAUUCGUGGUGUAGCGGUGAAAUGCUUAGAUAUCACGAAGAACUCCGAUUGCGAAGGCAGUUCACUGGACUGCAACUGACACUGAGGCUCGAAAGUGUGGGUAUCAAACAGGAUUAGAUACCCUAGUAGUC
Molecule: ribosomal RNA, 460 nt
Filed under: uncultured bacterium
Lineage: Bacteria
Description: partial 16S ribosomal RNA
Rfam family: Bacterial small subunit ribosomal RNA
Source: RNAcentral